This 493-nucleotide ribosomal RNA is filed under the name uncultured bacterium. RNAcentral's name for it is "bacterial SSU rRNA". It matches the Rfam family "Bacterial small subunit ribosomal RNA", at positions 30 to 516 of the family's 1533-position model. The record is from RNAcentral.
AUUGAACGCUGGCGGCAGGCCUAACACAUGCAAGUCGAGCGGUAGAGAGGUGCUUGCACCUCUUGAGAGCGGCGGACGGGUGAGUAAUGCCUAGGAAUCUGCCUAGUGGUGGGGGGAUAACGUUCGGAAACGGACGCUAAUACCGCAUACGUCCUACGGGAGAAAGCGGGGGAUCUUCGGACCUCGCGCCAUUAGAUGAGCCUAGGUCGGAUUAGCUAGUUGGUGAGGUAAUGGCUCACCAAGGCGACGAUCCGUAACUGGUCUGAGAGGAUGAUCAGUCACACUGGAACUGAGACACGGUCCAGACUCCUACGGGAGGCAGCAGUGGGGAAUAUUGGACAAUGGGCGAAAGCCUGAUCCAGCCAUGCCGCGUGUGUGAAGAAGGUCUUCGGAUUGUAAAGCACUUUAAGUUGGGAGGAAGGGUAGUAACCUAAUACGUUGCUACUUGACGUUACCGACAGAAUAAGCACCGGCUAACUUCGUGCCAGCAGCC